RNAcentral lists this ribosomal RNA (253 nucleotides) under uncultured bacterium. Its description in RNAcentral is "partial 16S ribosomal RNA". It matches the Rfam family "Bacterial small subunit ribosomal RNA", at positions 524 to 776 of the family's 1533-position model. The record is from RNAcentral.
UACGUAGGGAGCAAGCGUUGUCCGGAAUCAUUGGGCGUAAAGCGCGCGUAGGUGGCUUCAUAAGUCCGUUGUGAAAGUCAAAGGCUCAACCUUUGAAAGCCGACGGAUACUGUGGAGCUAGAGUACGGAAGAGGCGAGUGGAAUUCCGGGUGUAGCGGUGGAAUGCGUAGAGAUCCGGAAGAACACCGGUGGCGAAGGCGGCCUGCUGGGCAGUGGCUGACGCUGAGGCGCGACAGCGUGGGGAGCAAACAGG